UGUUGUGACCUCUCCAGUUGCGGAGCACAGGCUCCGGACGCGCAGGCUCAGCGGCCAUGGCUCACGGGCCUAGCCGCUCUGCGGCAUAUGGGAUCUUCCCGGACCGGGGCACGAACCCGUGUCCCCUGCAUCGGCAGGUGGAUUCUUAACCACUGCACCGCCAGGGAAGCCCCAGGAAAACUCCCAGACUAAAAUUUCCCAGAUGGAGCAUGGCAAAACAUUCAAGCAGCUAGAGAAAGACAACAAGCAAGAAACAUUACUGAUUAUUCAGCAGAAUUUGAAAGUUGUUACAACUCAAAGAUUAGAGGAGAAAAUUCAUAAACUUCAGAAACAGCUCAGUGACUUGAAAUUGUCAAAUAAAAAUAUGAAAACUCAACUGACAAGAGUAAAUGUCCUUAAAGACAAAACACUUGAGAAGCUCAGGCAAUCUUUAACAAAAGUUGAAGUAAUGAAAGGGAAGGCAGUUAUGGAAACAGACUUGAAAACUACAGUAGACUCUGCUGAAC
Molecule: long non-coding RNA, 506 nt
Organism: Mesoplodon densirostris (Blainville's beaked whale)
Lineage: Eukaryota; Metazoa; Chordata; Mammalia; Artiodactyla; Ziphiidae
Exons: 3
Source: RefSeq, a predicted model, not a curated record